CUCAGGACGAACGCUGGCGGCGUGCUUAACACAUGCAAGUCGAACGAUGAUGCCCAGCUUGCUGGGCGGAUUAGUGGCGAACGGGUGAGUAAUACGUGAGUAACCUGCCCUUGACUCUGGGAUAAGCCUGGGAAACUGGGUCUAAUACUGGAUACUACCUCUUACCGCAUGGUGGGUGGUGGAAAGGGUUUUACUGGUUUUGGAUGGGCUCACGGCCUAUCAGCUUGUUGGUGGGGUAAUGGCUCACCAAGGCGACGACGGGUAGCCGGCCUGAGAGGGUGACCGGCCACACUGGGACUGAGACACGGCCCAGACUCCUACGGGAGGCAGCAGUGGGGAAUAUUGCACAAUGGGCGGAAGCCUGAUGCAGCGACGCCGCGUGAGGGAUGACGGCCUUCGGGUUGUAAACCUCUUUCAGUAGGGAAGAAGCGAGAGUGACGGUACCUGCAGAAGAAGCGCCGGCUAACUACGUGCCAGCAGCCGCGGUAAUACGUAGGGCGCAAGCGUUGUCCGGAAUUAUUGGGCGUAAAGAGCUCGUAGGCGGUUUGUCGCGUCUGCUGUGAAAGCCCGGGGCUCAACCCCGGGUCUGCAGUGGGUACGGGCAGACUAGAGUGCAGUAGGGGAGACUGGAAUUCCUGGUGUAGCGGUGAAAUGCGCAGAUAUCAGGAGGAACACCGAUGGCGAAGGCAGGUCUCUGGGCUGUUACUGACGCUGAGGAGCGAAAGCAUGGGGAGCGAACAGGAUUAGAUACCCUGGUAGUCCAUGCCGUAAACGUUGGGCACUAGGUGUGGGGGACAUUCCACGUUUUCCGCGCCGUAGCUAACGCAUUAAGUGCCCCGCCUGGGGAGUACGGCCGCAAGGCUAAAACUCAAAGGAAUUGACGGGGGCCCGCACAAGCGGCGGAGCAUGCGGAUUAAUUCGAUGCAACGCGAAGAACCUUACCAAGGCUUGACAUUCACCGGACCGCCCCAGAGAUGGGGUUUCCCUUCGGGGCUGGUGGACAGGUGGUGCAUGGUUGUCGUCAGCUCGUGUCGUGAGAUGUUGGGUUAAGUCCCGCAACGAGCGCAACCCUCGUUCUAUGUUGCCAGCACGUGAUGGUGGGGACUCAUAGGAGACUGCCGGGGUCAACUCGGAGGAAGGUGGGGAUGACGUCAAAUCAUCAUGCCCCUUAUGUCUUGGGCUUCACGCAUGCUACAAUGGCCGGUACAAAGGGUUGCGAUACUGUGAGGUGGAGCUAAUCCCAAAAAGCCGGUCUCAGUUCGGAUUGAGGUCUGCAACUCGACCUCAUGAAGUCGGAGUCGCUAGUAAUCGCAGAUCAGCAACGCUGCGGUGAAUACGUUCCCGGGCCUUGUACACACCGCCCGUCAAGUCACGAAAGUUGGUAACACC
RNAcentral lists this ribosomal RNA (1389 nucleotides) under Kocuria sp. Its description in RNAcentral is "bacterial SSU rRNA". It matches the Rfam family "Bacterial small subunit ribosomal RNA". The record is from RNAcentral. Lineage: Bacteria; Bacillati; Actinomycetota; Actinomycetes; Micrococcales; Micrococcaceae.